GAAAUGCGAUAAGUAAUGUGAAUUGCAGAAUUCAGUGAAUCAUCGAAUCUUUGAACGCACAUUGCGCCCGCCAGUAUUCUGGCGGGCAUGCCUGUCCGAGCGUCAUUUCAACCAUCAAGCCCCCGGACUUGUGUUGGGGACCUGCGGCUGCCCGCAGGCCCUGAAAACCAGUGGCGGGCUCGCUGUCACACCGAGCGUAGUAGCAAUCACCUCGCUCAGGGCGUGCUGCGGGUUCCGGCCGUUAAACAGCCUUACAAAACCCAAGGUUGACCUCGGAUCAGGUAGGAAGACCCGCUGAACUUAAGC
Molecule: unclassified non-coding RNA, 306 nt
Filed under: plant metagenome
Description: partial contains 5.8S ribosomal RNA, internal transcribed spacer 2, and large subunit ribosomal RNA
Rfam family: 5.8S ribosomal RNA (bases 1-105)
Source: RNAcentral